Molecule: transfer RNA, 77 nt
Filed under: Kribbella speibonae
Lineage: Bacteria; Bacillati; Actinomycetota; Actinomycetes; Propionibacteriales; Kribbellaceae
Description: Kribbella sp. YM55 tRNA-Met
Rfam family: tRNA
About the family: Transfer RNA (tRNA) molecules are approximately 80 nucleotides in length. Their secondary structure includes four short double-helical elements and three loops (D, anti-codon, and T loops).
Source: RNAcentral
GGGGCGGUAGCUCAGCUGGUUAGAGCAGGGGACUCAUAAUCCCUGGGCCGCGGGUUCGAGUCCCGCCCGCCCUACCG